Molecule: ribosomal RNA, 253 nt
Filed under: uncultured bacterium
Lineage: Bacteria
Description: partial 16S ribosomal RNA
Rfam family: Bacterial small subunit ribosomal RNA
Source: RNAcentral
UACGUAGGGGGCGAGCGUUGUCCGGAUUUAUUGGGCGUAAAGAGCGUGUAGGCGGCCAGGUAGGUCUGCUGUGAAAACUCGAGGCUCAACCUCGAGACGUCGGCGGAAACCACCUGGCUAGAGUCCGGAAGAGGAGAGUGGAAUUCCUGGUGUAGCGGUGAAAUGCGCAGAUAUCGGGAGGAACACCAGAGGCGAAGGCGGCGAACUGGACAGUAACUGACACUCAACUGCGAAAGCGUGGGGAGCAAACAGG